Molecule: long non-coding RNA, 1461 nt
Organism: Pezoporus occidentalis (night parrot)
Lineage: Eukaryota; Metazoa; Chordata; Aves; Psittaciformes; Psittacidae
Exons: 3
Source: RefSeq, a predicted model, not a curated record
UAUAGGAGAGCCGGAGCCGGCUCCUCCCUCCUGCCCCGCAGCACACUGAGGAUCUCUUGCUGCAUGUGCCUGGCCCAGUGGGACCACGGGAGGGAGGGGACCCGUGAGGACACCCCAGGGACAGGUAGCACAGCACAAACAUGCGCAGCAUCACCUGUCUGGGCCCACCGAGAAGCUGGAAAGGCUUUGGGGUGCAUCCUGCAUCCACCCCCCUGUGAGAUGAGUGGCAGGGCGGCAGAAGGACAGCCAGGCAAAGAAAAGCACCCUGCAAACCAGGCAGAAUGGCUAAUAAAAAGCUGGACUAAAGACACUCCAAGAAACACUGAGCCACAGACUUGUCCUUCUUUUGUCCUGCCAGGUGCUCUUCAGAGGUGGGAACACUGCAAUCAGUCAUGUUGGCUGCCAGGUGGCCCAUAGCGAUGCUUGAGGAGCAGUUUGUCGGCGUGUGUGGUAAAGGAAGGCCCUGCAUGUCUUUGCUGUGAUGCUAUCCCAGUCCCUUGCACAAGGUUAGCUGGCUGGCAUUGCUAGGUUCUCCUCUUUAUAUUUGACUGGUUUUCUCUCUUCCCCUCCAAGAAACCAGAGAAUUCUCCACCAGAGAACAAGUUUAUUGCAAGUUUGGAUCUCCAAGCUGAGAAAGCUUCAGGGUAAGGAACUAAGACCUCUUCAGUUAGACGAAAGAUGUGCACAACCAAGCAUCAAUACAGUCGAGAAUAUUGACAUGUUUUUCUCUUUUGCCUUUAGAGGUAUUAAGAAUGAAAGGUCAGGUUCAGCCUUGAUGUAAAGCUAUUUGCUUUGGGUUUUGCUGGGUAUGACUCUGACAUAGCGGUUCCACAUUGCCGGCGGUGAGGCAGUGGGUGCAAGAAGAGGGGAACUGCCUGCACCCAGGAACUGGAACUAACCACAUCCAAAGGAGACAACAGAGAAGUGUCAUGAGAACCACAGCUCUGUGAGUUCCUCAUCACAACACUUCCCUUGGUUUCAACAGGGCAACGUGAGGUCACAAUCAUGAGAUGCUCCUCUCUAAAGAGCUGCGGGUGCCAGCGCACGUCCACAUGGCACACUCGGUUUCCUGUCUAUGUGGCUUCACAUCCAGCUUGCAGUUAGCUUAGGGAUGUCUCGAGGCAUUACGGCUGAUGGCUGUAUUUAUGAGCCUUACUUGAACUCAUCUGAGUAAGGUUUUUGCACUCAUACAGCACCCAGCACCUCAGGGCAGCUUCACAGACCCUGGUCCAAGGUAGUGCAAGCUCUAAAAGUAAUAAUGAACUCUAAUCCCAGGCUGUAAGGCAGUGUAGCUUUGCAGAGGAGGUGAUGGGAGAAAGCACAGAGAUGGAGAAUGUGGGUGAGACAAUACACCAGGCACUACUAAUGGGUUCAUCCAGCAAAUGUUGAGAGAAGCUUUGAUUUUCUGCUUGGGUGUUUUCUUAAGGUUUAAUGCAAAAAAUAUAUUAACAAACUAGUAAA